AUUGAACGCUGGCGGCAUGCUUUACACAUGCAAGUCGAACGGCAGCACGGGUGCUUGCACCUGGUGGCGAGUGGCGAACGGGUGAGUAAUGCAUCGGAACGUGCCCAUGUGUGGGGGAUAGCCCGGCGAAAGCCGGAUUAAUACCGCAUACGCCCUUAGGGGGAAAGCGGGGGAUCUUCGGACCUCGCGCUAUUGGAGCGGCCGAUGUCGGAUUAGCUAGUAGGUGAGGUAAAGGCUCACCUAGGCGACGAUCCGUAGCUGGUCUGAGAGGAUGAUCAGCCACACUGGGACUGAGACACGGCCCAGACUCCUACGGGAGGCAGCAGUGGGGAAUUUUGGACAAUGGGCGCAAGCCUGAUCCAGCCAUGCCGCGUGAGUGAAGAAGGCCU
RNAcentral lists this ribosomal RNA (389 nucleotides) under uncultured bacterium. RNAcentral's name for it is "bacterial SSU rRNA". It matches the Rfam family "Bacterial small subunit ribosomal RNA", at positions 30 to 417 of the family's 1533-position model. The record is from RNAcentral.